Molecule: long non-coding RNA, 4640 nt
Organism: Caretta caretta (loggerhead turtle)
Lineage: Eukaryota; Metazoa; Chordata; Testudines; Cheloniidae
Source: RefSeq, a predicted model, not a curated record
CGCGCACAGUUACACUGUCUGAAAUUCUCAUCACACGCUACCAAAAAAAAGGGGGGGGGCGGAGCAAGAUUCUGUAAUUUGCAUUAACUUUAUCAGUCAGCCAAUGAAGGGCCACCUUUUCAAAGGAGGUAUCGGGCAGUGGCCAAUCAGGAAGAGGGUUUAUUUGCAUAUGCUUAAGUGAGGCCAGGCGCGCAGGGCGGGAAUUCCUAGGCGCGCCUUUCUCCUCAUUUCUCCUUUCUCCCGGCUGCGCUGGGGAAAGGUCACUCUGCGCCGAGCUGAGACACUGCGUCUGGCGCUGGGGUGGGAGGGAGAUAAGGGGAAAGAGCAACAGCAACAGCAGCCGCCGCCAUGAUCACCGUUGUGGGGACACCGGGAAGGGGAGGGCUGUAUCCAUUUUGCUCCUUUGAUGAAGCCGCCCAAACACCGUUUAGAAACCUGCUUAUUUAUAGCGCAGUGUUCACCGGCAUAACACAUCCUGCUCCCUUGCCUAUUCUAGCUUCAUUUGUGCCCGCCCUCUUUCUGCUGUGAUUUCUUACUCCUCUCUCUCCCGGGCUGGCUGAGCUGCACCGCGCUUGGCGGUGGAGUUUGCUCCCCAGAGGCUGGGUCCGAGCCCUUCAGCCUGCGCCCCUGGGUCUCGGCUGCAGGGGGUCUUUGUAUGGCCGCAUCUGUUGUAUGAAAGCCCGCGUGCGUUAGGGGGAGCUAAUGGGAUUCCCUGAUACACACUGGGAGACUUCGGUAUGUUAGACCCGAGCCUGCCCUUGAACGGCGACGAGCCCCUUCCUAGCUAGGCGUAGGUUAAAAAUUGCAAGAAGCGCAUGUGCUCCCCCCUCCCCGGUUCGCAGGGCUGGAAAUCCGCACAGACGCUGCAAUGUCACACGCUGGAUCCCGUGCGUGUGUCUCAGGCACCUCUUGACGUCUGGCGCGGGCUGAGAUUGAAAGGCAGCUCCUUUCCCAUCAGAGUCCACAGAGGGCGCUGAGGCAACGAGAAAUCAUCCCCGGGAAAGCCGCAUGGCGUCCUCAAGCGGGGUAGGCGCUCAGAGAUGCUGCCAAGUCUCACUCAGCUGGGAGGCAAAUCUAGAUUAAUUUUAAGGCAGUUUUUAGAAACACCUCUCUCCUGAAGAAGGAAUUUACAGCUUGUUUCAGUGAGAACUAACUUCACUGAGUUUCUGCCAUUUCCACCGAAACUGGAACAGCUUAAGCUAGGCCCUGCCUACAGGCUCAGGUUGGUUUAGGGCUUGUUGGCCAGUUCUGUCUAGAGACCAGUCCUUAUUGCAUUUGGUGGGUAGAGACAGUUGGAUAGCAGUUUUAGGGACUACUUAAACUCUGCUUCCCAAUUACUGGUAACUGGGCUAGAGUUGCAGCAGCUAUAGUCUAAGGGCUUGUCUUCACUGACAUCACUGCAGCAGUUCGUUGGAGUUAGUACAAUUGAGUUACUGCACUUCAAAACAACACUGGAAUUACGCACACAGUGAUUUGAUUAGCAGCACAGAGUGAUUGGAUUAGCAGAAUGAUUGGAUUAGUUGAUGAGCAGUUUUAACCCAAGCUGCUGCUUCCCCUCAGCAUUACUAGGGCCUUGUCCAUACUAAAAAUUUAGGUUGACCCAGCUCCAUCAUUCAGGGGUGUGAAAAAUCCACCCAGAGCGGCAUCGGACCUAAGCCCUGUUGUAGAUAGCAUGUACACAAAAUUCUUCUGUUGAGCUAGCUAUCCCUUUUUAGGGAGGUGGAGUAACUACGCAGUCGGUGUAGGUUGUGUCACACUGAAGUACUGCAAUGCAGUGCUAUAGUUGUGCCACUGUAGCGUUUCAAGUGUAGACAAGCCCUAGCUCAAGCAUCAGCAUCACUCAAAUUUCAAAGCCCCCAGUUCCCCACCCUCGACAGGAAAAUUCACACCCCUGAAUGAUGCAGUUAAACCGACUUAAUCCCUAGUGUAGACAGUACUAGGUAAAUGGGAGAAUUCUCCCAUUGACCUAACUACUGUCUCUUGGAGAGGUGGAUUACCUAUGCCGAAGUGAGGGCUACUCCUGUCGGCGUAGGUAGUGUCUUCACUGAAACUGCUUGUGAUUCAUGAACCUGGGGAAGAUAAGUGUCUGAAUGCCUAAAUUGAGUGUGGGGCCUGAAACAAAACAAAACAAAACGAUGAGGGGGGGAAGAUUGCCCUCCCUUAUGACUUUUAGCCUAGUGGCUAGGAGGCUCAACUGGGAUAUGGGAAUCCCCGGUUCAAGUCCUCCCUACUACUACUGAAGAAGUACAGAGAAGAGAAACAAAAAUUAUUAGGAGUCUGGAAAAGCUUCCAUAUGAGGAGAGAUUAAAAAGACGGGGACUGUUCAUUUUAGGAAAGAGAUGAUUAAGGGGGGAUAUGUUAGAGGCACAGUUGCCAACUUUCAUAUGCUAAAUAAGCACCCCGACUUUCUCAAUAAGCCAAAAACUAAGCUAAUCCCAUUUCAAAACAAGCCAAUCCCUAAGAACCUCAACACUCUAUGUAACUAGAUCCCCUCGGCAUGUAGUCUGAAACUGUGGUUGGCCCACUGUGCACCCCUGACUCUCUUCCCCGCUUGCCCGUGCUUGCCACUUUCCCCUGCUUCCCCUCCCCCUGCCACUGCUUUCCAGGAGCCAAUAAAAAAAAAUGAAGCAACAAGCUACAAGGCAAAAACUACCCAACAAGCAACUCACAAGCCAAUUAAGCCAAAAAAAAUGCCCAAUUUCUGUGUUUUUUCCUGCAGGUUUGGCAUGUCUGGUUAGAGGUCUAUAUAAUCAUGAAUGGUGUGGAGAAAGUGUAUAAGGAACUGUUAUGUAUCCCUUCACGUAACACAAGAACUGAGGGUCACCCAAUGAAAUUAAUAGCAGCAGGUUUAAAACAGACAUAAGGAAGCACUUCUUCACACAAUGCGCAGUCAACCUGUGGAACUCAUUGCCUGGGAUGUUGUGAAGACCACAGGUCCUUGCCUGGCCGAGGGCACGUGGAGGGUCUGCGAUGCCGCGCGGGCUCCUCACAGCUCCUCGUGCGGAUCUCCCCGAUGAGGUUCUGGUGGGGGGUGCCUCGGAGCCUCAGCCCCGCCAGAGCCUCUCUGAAUGAAACAGCUGAAACUACUAGUGAAGAAGGCACCUCUUCCACAACAUGAGUCUCAGCCCUGGUCUACACUACGAGUUUAGGUCGAAUUUAGCAAUGUUAGAUUGAUUUAACCCUGCACCCGUCCACACAACGAAGCCAUUUUUGUCGACUUAAUGGGCUCUUAAAAUUUAUUUCUGUACUUCUUCCUGAUGAGGGGAUUAGCACUGAAAUCGACAUUGCCGGGUUGAAUUUGGGUUAGUGUGGACGGAAUUCGACAGUAUUGGCCUCCGGGAGCAAUCCCACAGUGCUCCAUUGUGACCUCUCUGGACAGCACUCUCAAUACGGAUACACUAGCCAGGUACACAGGAAAAGCCCCGCAAACUUUUGAAUUUCAUUUCCUGUUUGGCCACCGUGGCAUGACCACGCAGAGCUCAUCAGCAGAGAUGACCAUGGAGUUCCAGAAUCGCAAAAGAGCUCCAGCAUGGACUGAACGGGAGGUACUGGAUCUGAUCGCUGUAUGGGGAGAUGAAUCCGUGCUAUCAGAACUCCAUUCCAAAAGACGAAAUGCCAAAAUAUUUGAAAAAAAUCUCCACGGGCAUGAAGGACAGAGGCUAUCACAGGGUCCCCCAGCAGUGCCACGUGAAACUUAAGGAGCUCAGGCAAGCCUACCAAAAAACCCAAGAGGCAAACGCCCGCUCGGGGUCAGAGCCCCAGACAUGCCGCUUCUAUGAUGAGCUGCAUGUAGUUCUAGGGGGUGCCCCUACAACUACCCCACACCUGUACGUGGACUCCUGCAAGGGAGUCUCACGCAACAGGGAUGAGGAUUUGCUGGACGAGGAAGAUAGCGCACACCAGGCAAGCGGAGAAACCAUUCUUCUCGACAGCCAAGAACUGUUUAUCACCCUGGAGCCAAUACCCUCCCAACCUUCUCAACCCAGGCUUCCGCACCUUGAAGGCAGAGAAGGCGUCUCUGCUGCAAAUGUUUCAACCCUGUGACUAGCAUCUCUGUCCCAAAGACUAGCGCAGAUAAGAAGGCGAAAUAAAUGCACUCAAAAUGAAAUGUUCUCUGAGCUCAUGCAGUCCACCCAAACUGAAAGAGCCCAGCAGAAUGCAUGGAGGCAGACAAUGGCAGAGUCCAGGAAAGCACAAAAUGAAUGCAAGGACAGGAGGGACGCGCAAGAGGAUAGAUGGCUGGAGAAACAGUCGAGGUGCUGGGAUCAAGAGAAAAGGUGGCGGCAGCAUGAUGAAAGGAGGCAGGAUGCAAUGCUGAGGCUACUGGAGGAUCAAACUGAUAUGCUUCGGUGUAUGGUUGAGGUGCAGGAAAGGCACAGACCGCCACUGCAGCCCCUGUGUAACCAACUGCCCUCCUCCCCAAGUUCCAUAGCCUCCUCACCCAUACGCCCAAGAAUGUGGGACGGGAGACUCUGGGCACCCAACCACGCCACCCCAGAGGACUGCCCAAUCAACAGAAAACUGGCAUUCAGUAAGUUUUGAAGUGCAGUGUGGCCUUGUCCUUCCCUCCUCCCGUCCUCCUGCACCCCUCUCAGGCUACCUUGGCAGUUAUCCCCCUAUUUGUGUGACAAAUUAAUAAA